UUGUCAUGCACGCGACUUAAUGGGUAGCAGUGGUCGCAUCACCGGCCCAUCCCAUGAUGUGGUCGUUGGAAAGUCGUGGAUCAUACUGUGGUCUGCGUUAGAGCCGGCGCGUCAUCGAGGUGGAGCAGGAGCGUGCACGAUAGGACCCGAAAGAUGGUGAACUAUGCUUGCGUUGGUUAAAACCAGAGGAAACUGUGGUGGAGGACCGCAGCGAUUCUGACGUGCAAUUCGAUAGACAACCUUGAUUAUAGAAGCGAAAGACCUAUCGAACCAUCUAGUAGCUGG
RNAcentral lists this non-coding RNA (285 nucleotides) under Schistocephalus solidus. RNAcentral's name for it is "Eukaryotic large subunit ribosomal RNA". It matches the Rfam family "Eukaryotic large subunit ribosomal RNA", at positions 675 to 954 of the family's 3401-position model. The record is from Rfam by way of RNAcentral. Lineage: Eukaryota; Metazoa; Platyhelminthes; Cestoda; Diphyllobothriidea; Diphyllobothriidae.